Molecule: long non-coding RNA, 803 nt
Organism: Carcharodon carcharias (great white shark)
Lineage: Eukaryota; Metazoa; Chordata; Chondrichthyes; Lamniformes; Lamnidae
Exons: 3
Source: RefSeq, a predicted model, not a curated record
GAGUUGUCCCUCUCCUCAUACCCGGAUGUAUCCAAUUCACUGGUCAUGGGAUAGACCAAGCCGUUUAAUUUGACCAAUUCUUGCGGAUGGGGGUAACACAGGAAAUAUUAGGGGUAGAGGGAGGGGGAGGUCAGGUGACCAUUUGGGUCACAGCUCUUCUCAGUUUACCCAACUCAACCUUCUGACAGACAAACAUUCACACAAGAGUCAACACAUUGGUGUGGGACUGGAGUUACAUGUAGGCCAGACCAGUUGGUGUAGGAAGGCCGUACAUCACAAGGAUGGACGUGUUCACGGAAUCACACAGUGCUGAAGAGGCCCUUCGGCCCAUCGAGUCUGCACCGACACGUGUUGGCUGACUAGUGGCUGGAAUGUGGGGAAUCUUAAAGCAAGCUAAACCGAGAGGAGGAGUUUGCCACAGCUAUUCCCUUAUUACGGUCAACUGGCUACAGACCACCCCAGCUAUGCAGGCCUGUCAUUUUUCCUUUUAUUAGUAUUUCGAAUAUUAAUUCAGGAAUAAAUCGUGCCCAAUCAGCUCUGUAUUUACAGUAAUUACUGUGCCUGCUGGAGGCAUUAGUUCCCGGAGGUUCAACAGCAUGGUGCGGACUGAGAUUACAGGAGAUCUACAGCUUCUGAAAGGACAGGGCCCUGGCCCAGGAUGAAAUUAUUAGGGUGACCAUAUUUUCUAAAUCAAAUCGAGAUGCACAGCCCAAGGUUCAGCCGCACCACCCAAUCUGGCUCCGCUCACUUGUCCAGUUACCAGCGGUUCCCACCACUCGCAUAUUUUGGCUCCAGGCCCCAUU